GACGAACGCUGGCGGCGUGCUUAACACAUGCAAGUCGAACGGAAAGGCCCUGCUUUUGUGGGGUGCUCGAGUGGCGAACGGGUGAGUAACACGUGAGUAACCUGCCCUUGACUUUGGGAUAACUUCAGGAAACUGGGGCUAAUACCGGAUAGGAGCUCCUGCUGCAUGGUGGGGGUUGGAAAGUUUCGGCGGUUGGGGAUGGACUCGCGGCUUAUCAGCUUGUUGGGGGGGUAGUGGCUUACCAAGGCUUUGACGGGUGGCCGGCCUGAGAGGGUGACCGGCCACAUUGGGACUGCGAUACGGCCCAGACUCCUACGGGAGGCAGCAGUGGGGAAUAUUGCACAAUGGGCGGAAGCCUGAUGCAGCAACGCCGCGUGCGGGAUGACGGCCUUCGGGUUGUAAACCGCUUUCGCCUGUGACGAAGCGUGAGUGACGGUAAUGGGUAAAGAAGCACCGGCUAACUACGUG
Molecule: ribosomal RNA, 468 nt
Filed under: uncultured bacterium
Lineage: Bacteria
Description: partial 16S ribosomal RNA
Rfam family: Bacterial small subunit ribosomal RNA
Source: RNAcentral